AAUUUGUUCGAGAGACGUCUCAACGCCAUCUGAUCAUUGUAACAUCAUUACUCUAUCACUCUUCUCCCUCUCCCUUCGCCCUGGGGAGCCCCCUUCUCCCAAUUCUUCUUGCUUCUCUGUGCACGCAGAGACUGAAACCCCCAUCACAAGGCAACACGCUAUCAGCAACCACGACUAACCACCCCGCUCCUUCUAUGUUCGCUUUUUUCCCCCUUCUUGGUUAUUCCCGGGUAUGAUACGCUUCAUGCAGUCGCCUUUCUGUACUUCCCUUUCUUUCGUGCAUUUGCCUUCUAUUUUCAGCAUCACUCACCGUAUUUUGAACGCUAGCACGUUUUCGUCUUUCUGAUUCUACCCUCUUCUUACUAUCUCCACGUGCCCUUGGCUGCGAGACAGGCAAAGCAAAAGCGGAAGGGCCAAGCUACGCAUGAAACUGUCGUUAAGUUUGUGAGUGUGCGGCCACUCUCUUCUACGCUUCUCUUGCGUUUGUCUCUCUCUCUCCCUUUCUUGUUCGCCUCCGUUCUUGCUUUCUUGUCACACUUUCGCAGUACACAGCGGACAGAGGAGCCGCAUACGCGCCCACUAACUCACGAGCCCCCCCCCCCCGCUCUCCACUCACACGCCUUACGGAUCGGAAUCGUGGGCCAUUGUCACCAGUGCGUCAUCCCUCGAAUCCGCUGUCAGUCGCACCAUUCCUCGCCAGCCUUCUUUUUCUUUUUUAUUUGAUGUUUUGUUUUUGAUUGUUUUCCCCUUCCUGCUCUUUGGGCCCUUUCCUUUUUGUGUGUGUAUGUGAUACAUCUCGCUUCUUCUCUGAUUGUUCGUCCUCUCUUUGUCCGCCUGUUCUCUGUUUCGUUCUGUGCUCCCUUUCUCUGUACUUGUGCUUGCGCGCGUCGACUUGUUGGCGCUCUGAGUGAAGUUGCUGAAUUUGCGCCUCGUCGCCGCGUGCCAUCUUUUGAACGGUCGAGCGCAAGCGAUAUAGGGUGUGUGAGCUACGUAGAGUCACACUCAUCUACACGUACAUACACGGGCAAGCCCCUUCAUCGUUGCCGCACUCUUCAGUGGCGGCUAAGAGACACGGUUGGAUAAAGGAACAACGGCACGCACGCACACGCCUGCGUACGUGCGUGCGCUAGCCCACGGUUACAUCCUGGCAUUGCCGCGGUGCCAUCUCUUUUUGCCAUUGCACGGCCCUCUCCCUCCCUACGUCUCGGAGAACCAUUCCAAGCUCGAUUCGCCAUGACGAAAUCUUUCUCACCGCCCCUGGACGGCUCCUCGCAGAGCAUGUCGGCGAAGAGUGAGCAUCUGUGGAUGCAUGGCGUUGCAGGCAUGAUGGGCGGGUCAGCCGCGAUGAUGAUGUUUUACCCGCUCGACUUCCUACGCACUCGCAUGCAUAUCCUUCAUCAGGGAAGCCGCGCGAUGCCGCUUCGCUCCGCUCGUGAGAUUUUGCGUCAGGAAGGUUUGCGCGGCAUGUACAAGGGCAUCGGUGUGUCUGUCGUUUCGCACAGCGUCGGCUGGGGACUCUACCUGGUCACCUUCCGCUCCGCGCAGCAGCGCAUCACGGAGUUACUCGACGAAAAGCUGGAGGACUCCAUGAUUGAGCAGUCCGGUCUCGAUUUCAUGAGCGCGUGCGUCGCGGCCACUAUCACGGGCACCGUCGUCACGCCGCUCCACGUCAUCAAGACACGCCGCCAGCUGUGCGACGGCGACCGCCUUCACGGCGGCGUCCGUGUGCAACCGCUUCCGUCCGGUUUCGCUGGGGUGAGAGCGAUUGCGCGGCAGGAGGGAUGGAGAGCCAUGUUCCGCGGACUGUGGCCUCAAAUACUGCUUACCGGCAACACCACCAUCCAAGUGACCAUAUACGAGUGGUUCCGGCGUAACCUGUUCACCAACCACGAAAAUCCCUCGCCGCUGCAGGUGGCACUGGCCUCCGGCUUUUCCAAGGCAGUAGCCUGUGCCCUCUUCAACCCCCUCGAGGUCGUGCGGACUUGCCUACAGGAUCAACGUAACCACGGCAGUCCGGAGUACAAGAGCAUGCUGACGGGCUUGCAGACUAUCUGGCGCAGUGAGGGGCUCAUCGGCAUGUACCGCGGCCUUCCCGUGAAUGUGGCACGCGUCAUCCCGUCAACGAUGAUGGCGUUUGUGCUGUACGAGAAGUGCCUGUGGGCGAUUCGCGCGACGUACCAGAUGGCUGAGUCGCUGCAUGUUACAGGCGCUGCAACCUCGAGCACCAGCACUGCCUUCAAAGGCGGUUCCUCUGCCAGCAAUAUCAGCACUGCGAGCGGCAGCAAGACAGGUUUUGCUGUGGGAAAGCCUCAGUUUCAGUAGUCUGAUUUCACACCGCUCGCAUGUCCCGCAAACGGCGGCUCAGGACUUCGCAGAUGAAGAAGUGAAGCUGCGCAAAACGAUCAAUGAGAAAGAAGCGGGUGAGUUGGACACGUGCCAGAAAGCGAGUCACGACCAGAUAUCAAGGAACGCUAGUGCGCGAUGUGCGCCACGAGGGGAAGCCACUGCUUCCCUUCUAAUCCGCCAAUGCGUGUCGUCUUUGGUGGGGCGGAGCACGUCUACGAAAUGCAAGACGCUUCGUCAUGUGCGCUUUCACACGAGCAGGAGAUUCCCACAAACGGAAGAGAGCGACGCAUUGGAGGGCACAAUGUAGUCGUCCGAAAAAGAGGAGAUGCGAGGGGGAGACCAGAGACACGCGCGCAAGACCACGAAAACGGUCGUUCCUUUGCAGCGAGUCCAUUCUCUGCCACACAACAGGAGUCAAGCUUCAUUCUACCCGUCGACUGUGUCUCGGGUUUCAUCGCGUGGCGGAAAACAGCGCCAGACACGCCUCACAGCAGUGCACCCACACAGUGGCCUGAGCACGACCCGCGCCCCAUAUUCAGCCACCCACUCGCCAAGCGGGUCGCUUCACAGCUACUCCCAUUUUGCCGGUCGCCAGCUGGUGCAUCCCCGUCGGGGUGACGCGCAGGCGCCAUACACCAGUAGGCAGUGUGAGGGCCGGGGACGGGAUACGUUCCAGCCACGCUGAUGCUCUGCCCACCACAUAGAUGGCACGAAUGUAUCCACUGCCGCAGGAGGCUUCGACGCAAACGCCAUCCAGGGCCUGAGAGCCGGCAUCAGCAGCGACACACCGCCCUGACCCCUCCCCUAGGCCGUAGGUGCCUGCCCUUGUCAUCACCAGAGGUGGUUCGGCAUCUUGGCGGGAGGGGGUGGGUGGGUGGGCUGCUUGGCUUCCUCACACACGGAGUGGGUGGUGCACUGGCCCCUGAGAUGCCACACGCAUUGAGGUGUUCCCUUGUCUUUGGAGGUGUUUCUGUGUGUGUGGAGGGAGGACGAGUCACAGAGGAAAGUAAGAAGAAGCGGGAAAGUGAAUGAGAAGGCAAAGGCACAGAGGGCCAUGACAAGUGAGAUAUCAACUGUAUGAUCUUCGUCUUUUCAUUGUGAGAGGAGGCAAGUCCCGAAUAAGUGAAUGGUGUGGCCUGUGCGAAGGUUGUCAUGGAAGAUGUCUGACGACGGUGGUGCGUUUCUCCUGUUUCGUCUACUGUGGUGCGUGCCGGUGAUAGGUAGCAUGCGUGUCUUCCUUUGUAAUUCGCAAGCAAGGGAAAGAGAAGUUAGGCACAGCAACUCCGCCGCGAACGGAAAGCAUCCAGCUCGCAGCUGGGCAGACACUCGUGGACAAGUCGAUGCAUCCGUGUGACGCGGCAAGGAGGGGGAGAGCUCACCGUAAUGAGGACAACAGUCGUGCACUGUCAUACGGCGGGGGAGAGAAUAUAUGAAAGAGUGUGUGAUCACGUUUGUGGCAACCGCCGCUCUCCCUCUCCCCGACCCGGCGACUUCCCAAUAUAUGAGCAUGACGGGCGCAAAUGUGGCCCUGCUCGAGGGGUGCAUGCUCCACAGAUUCUUUUUGUAGCGAAUGUGUGUGUGUGCGUUUUUGCGCUUGUCGUGGUGUACAGUUGUGACGUGCUUUUGAGUUUGCGAGCAAGUGAGAGUGCGUUGGUGGUGGUGGGGAGUCGCACGCACCCUGCCCCCCCCCCCCACACACACACACCUUUUUUUUCAGCUGUCUGCCUUCGUUGCUUGUUUUUUUUUUAGUGUAUGAGUUCCUAUGGUGCUUACACGGUAUCAUGUAAAAUGGAAACCCGAAGAAGCAGAAGAAGAGCAGCAAAGGAAAGUCACAAAACGAAAAAAAAAACAGGAGGAGAAGAGGGAGGAGGAAAAGGCAGGGGCUGCCCAACCGAAAACAGCCAGUAUUGACACCCACGCACAAAGCUCACCGACUUCCUUAAACGCGAAACAGUGAGGAGGGAUAGGCAGCAACGCCACGUUGUCUAUAGUACUCGGAAAGGAAACAACAGCGACAACAACGCAAUAAAAUACUUGACCCGUAUACUCUCGCCCACGAACAGGGCCCUUUCCUGUUUUUGUUUCGGUUUUUCUUAUUGGUUUCUUUUUUUUUCCUGAAUGUGUCCGUGUGUGCCUUGCAAGUGUGAUUGAUUCUCUCUUUUGCUUUGUGUUGAUCAAGUGACGUUUCUGUCGUCCUCGCGUUGACUGUGAUUUUCCUCUAACCUGAGAAGAGACGUAAGUGCGGUGGCCAUAAGCUGAUCAGACCCUUGUCUUUUCCUGCCUGUGCGCGCAUGCUCCCCCCUCUACCGAAAAGAAAAAUAAGUGUGUGACCGCAUCUCAUGCCGCUCUGAGAGUAUAACGCUCACGAGGAAUAGCUCCCACGUUUCGUGUGCACGUGUGUGUGGAUCAUCUUGCUCGUGCGGUGCUGUGACCACCCCUUCUUAUUUGGUGUGUGCCUGUGUCUGUGUGAAUUUCUUUGUUGACCAUCAGAGGCUGAUGCUGGUGUGGCACUGAUAUAGUGGUUUCACGGCCAUUUCGCUUUCGCUCGGCCUGGCAGUAGUGGAGGACUCCCCUGCGGGCUUGGUGCCUUGACAUGCCCGUGUUUUUUUUUGGGGGGGGGAGGGUCUCUUCCGUGUUUCUUGUGUUUUUUUUUGGUUAGUAUGCAUCGAAGGGAUGCCAUCAAUGCCGAUGCUCGGCUCCUGAUUCUAUGGAUAUCAACGUGAUAGAGGAGAGCCCACGAGGGCUCACUAUCGAGAAAAGAAAUGUGAAGGAAUGCGUAAUCAGCGACCAUGAGAGGUGAGGGCACUAAGAACACCGGCACGUAAGCAAAUCCCUCUCGAGGCCUGAAGUGAGCCGCGUAUUGCGUGUUCCACGAAAUAUGCCAAAGCGUCUCCCUCCUCAGACCGGCCGAUCUUCGCGACGCCUAUACCUUUCAGCUCUUUCUUCUCUGGCGUUCUGUGAAUCUGUCCGGUGUGUCUUGUUUCUCCUUUUUUUGUGUGUGCGGCACUCUCCAUUUGCCCCUUGGCGUUUCACUUUGUGGCGUUAAAACAGGCACUCGCUGGCCCAACGAAAGGCGUCAGAGAUGUUAAGAGAGACAGCGAGAAAGUGGGAAAGGGCGGGCGCUAAGAACAGGACAAGCGACGGUUUAGAAAACGAAAAAAUGUGUGACUGAUGUGUGGGAAGCGAUUCGCGCAGAACAACAUGGUCACCGAAAAAGAAGCGCGAAAAGAAAAAAGAAAACAGCGGAGGACGCUUACUUUUUCCUUUGAUUGUUCUGAGGCGCCUCUGUUGUAACUCCGUUUCCUUUCUUAUCUUUCCUUCUUCACUCACCUUUGCAUCUCCGACUUCGAUGGAUCAUGUAUGUCUGUGUGCGCCUCGGUCUCUGUUGUGGCCUCUUCGUCUCUUUCCUGUAUGGCUAAGCGGCAACUCACGAGCAUCUCUUUCUCCGUCUCUUUUUUUUUGUAGUGCGUCGCUUUCUCUUUCUUUCGUGAAGCAACAACCUCCACGAGGGCUCUUUGUGCCGCGUUCUGUACCGUAUAUAUGUCUCAAUGUCUUUUUCAAUAUUUCGCGCUUUUCCUAUGCUGGACGAUGACGAUGACAUGCUGAUGUUUGGCAGGAGGCGUGGCUUACUACUCGACCCGACGGAGGACGAAAAAUGAGCCCGAAAAGGUGCCAUCGGAGGGGCGAGGGUCAAGGCAAAUCCACCUUUCACGCAUAGUGACCGCGCUGUGCCAUGCAGAAGGAAACUGUGGCAAAAAGAGAGGGCUUUUAGGAGGAAUCGAGCGCGCGUACCACCCUCAGCGGUGCUCACUGACAGACACACGCACACACAAUCGAACCCCUUGCGAGUCGUUUGUUCAGAAAAAAAGUCCUUUCACAUACCUUUUUGUGCAGUUUUGUGCCGUUUUAUCAUCCGCCUCUUCGGGUGCCCUUCUAUCGACUGACGUCCUCUCCUUUUCUUUCAGUGCCCCCCUUACUUGCUCUCCAUUUCCCCUGCUGCUGGCGUUUCAUUGCGAAAGCAGGCGGCUGCUCCAAGAAGUACAGAGAAAAGGGGAAGAAGAGAGCCGAGGCCUCGCCCCCUCCAUUCUUCACGUCCUUGUAUAAGUCAAGAUUCCUGACUCUUUCCUUUGUUUUCCAAGGCGCACAUGUGUGCGAGAUGUGCCAUGGACGCCGUUUCACCCUAAGAGCAUCUCUCUCCCCUUCCUUCUUGUUAUUUCUACCUCUUCUACUUUCUUUUCUGUUUGCGCUGCUCUUCUCUGUUCCUCUUUUUUCUUUGUGUGGGAGUGCAGCCGCACCGGAGGUCUCUUGUCCCUCGCUCUUUUUCUCUGCCUUGUUCUCACACUCUCUCCUUUGGUCGGCUCUCUCUCUCCCUCUCUCUGGUUCAUUACAUGUCGAUGUAUGCAAUUGCAAGUGUUUUUUAUUUCUUUUGCCCACGCGUGUACUCUCUUUUCUUGUUUCUUCGUCUGUGUGUGAGUGUGCUCUUUUCACCCAUCGGCUGCUUCUAGCAGAUGGGCUUCGUUUGUUUGUUUGUUCUUGGAGGCCUGCAACGUGCGUCACCCGCGCCACACUCAUCACCACUUCCUCCGUCUCACGCCUCGGGGUCUGUCUGUGUCCCCCCCCUUUCCGUGUGCUGCGCCUCUUUCAUGCUGCAGCACCUCUUUUGGUUACACACAUAAGCGCCUGCGUGUCUUGUCCAGGCUAUGAAGAAAAGGAAGGAGGGAGAGAGGACGGUGGAUGCGUUGGCCACACGGUAGCCAGGAAUCGGAAUCCAUAGAAAACAAACAAAGACGAAGUGAUGUCGUCUCUACAGAGCCGCGGGCCCAUUCAUCGUACGUCUCUCUGUCGCUCUCAAUAUAAUUGGUGAAGACCUAAGAGACAUAGUUUCGUGCUGUAAGAUUCCUUUGUCUGCUUCCAUCCGCGAACGUGCUUUGUGAUGCAUUUUUCGCGCAUGCAAAGGCAUUUCUGCACGCCUGCUUAUAGUUUGUUGACAGCGACAACUGCGUGAAGGUACGAUAUAUAGAGGGAUAGAGAGGCAGCAUGGAAGCCGGAGCUAUGCCCAUUCUCUCCCCGAAACAUCUACUUACGGAACACAAGUACACUCUGCUCAUGGUCAACAUGAGUGCCGAGGAAAAAAAAACGGCGUUGGGUGUGUGGGGAUUCAUAACGUCGGUUUUUUCUGAAUUAUUUCUUGCUACUCAUUACUAUUUAUUAUUUUUUUUUUGGUUCCCCCCUCCCCCACACCUACACACUCCUUUGGUUGUCGUGUCCUCGGGCUCGCUUCGUUCUCUAUCUUCUGGUUUGCCCCUCUUUUGUGUUUUUUUUUUCUCAUUGUCUUCCUAAUCAAAAAGAAACAUGAACGCGCUGCUGCUUCUCUACUUUUUUUUUUGCUGGUGAUCAGGCCGAAUAUGCAGCGUGCUAAUUGGGUCAUGCAAAAUAACCACAACCACAACGACAAAAACAAAGAGUCGGAAC
This 7818-nucleotide unclassified non-coding RNA is filed under the name Leishmania donovani. RNAcentral describes it as "gene:LdHU3.35.4430(CDS-product:mitochondrial_carr ier_protein_putative)". The record is from RNAcentral. Lineage: Eukaryota; Euglenozoa; Kinetoplastea; Trypanosomatida; Trypanosomatidae.